CAAAGGAGCAAUCCGCUGAUAGAUGGGCUCGCGUCCGAUUAGGUAGUUGGUGAGGUAACGGCUCACCAAGCCGACGAUCGGUAGCCGGACUGAGAGGUUGAACGGCCACAUUGGGACUGAGACACGGCCCAGACUCCUACGGGAGGCAGCAGUGGGGGAUAUUGCACAAUGGGGGGAACCCUGAUGCAGCGACGCCGCGUGAGGGAAGAAGGUUUUCGGAUUGUAAACCUCUGUUCUUGGUGACGAAGAUGACGGUAGCCAAGGAGGAAGCCACGGCUAACUACGUGCCAGCAGCCGCGGUAAUACGUAGGUGGCAAGCGUUGUCCGGAAUUACUGGGUGUAAAGGGAGCGUAGGCGGGAAGAUAAGUUGGACGUUUAAACUAUCGGCUCAACCGGUAGUCGCGUUCAAAACUGUUUUUCUUGAGUGAAGUAGAGGUAAGCGGAAUUCCUAGUGUAGCGGUGAAAUGCGUAAAUAUUAGGAGGAACACCAGUGGCGAAGGCGGCUUACUGGGCUUUAACUGACGCUGAGGCUCGAAAGCGUGGGUAGCAAACAGGAUUAGAUACCCUGGUAGUCCACGCCGUAAACGAUGAUUACUAGGUGUGGGGGGAUUGACCCCUUCCGUGCCGCAGU
RNAcentral lists this ribosomal RNA (631 nucleotides) under uncultured bacterium. RNAcentral describes it as "bacterial SSU rRNA". It matches the Rfam family "Bacterial small subunit ribosomal RNA", at positions 202 to 852 of the family's 1533-position model. The record is from RNAcentral.